Molecule: ribosomal RNA, 467 nt
Filed under: uncultured bacterium
Lineage: Bacteria
Description: partial 16S ribosomal RNA
Rfam family: Bacterial small subunit ribosomal RNA
Source: RNAcentral
GACGAACGCUGGCGGCGUGCUUAACACAUGCAAGUCGAACGGAAAGGCCUCUUUCGGGGGGUACUCGAGUGGCGAACGGGUGAGUAACACGUGAGUAACCUGCCCUUGACUUUGGGAUAACUUCAGGAAACUGGGGCUAAUACCGGAUAGGAGCUCCUGCUGCAUGGUGGGGGUUGGAAAGCUUCGGCGGUUGGGGAUGGACUCGCGGCGUAUCAGCUUGUGGGUGGGGUAGUGGCUUACCAAGGCUUUGACGGGUAGCCGGCCUGAGAGGGUGACCGGCCACCUUGGGACUGAGAGACGGCCCAGGUUCCUACGGGAGGCAGCAGGGGGGAAUACUGCACAAUGGGUGGAAGCCUGAUGCAGCAACGCCGCGUGCGGGAUGACGGCCUUCGGGUUGUAAACCGCUUUCGCUCAUGACGAAGCUUUGUGUGACGGUAGUGGGUAAAGAAGCACCGGCUAACUACGUG